Molecule: ribosomal RNA, 660 nt
Filed under: Triticum aestivum (bread wheat)
Lineage: Eukaryota; Viridiplantae; Streptophyta; Magnoliopsida; Poales; Poaceae
Description: partial small subunit ribosomal RNA
Source: RNAcentral
AUGAGUGACGAUGGCGACUCCGACAUCUGCGAUGGAUGCAUCGAGGCGAUCUGCUGCGCGUUUUUCGUGGAUUCCCUCGGCGGCAAGACACUCUUCCGCAUUGUCUGUGCUAUCGUGAUCUUCGCCGUCCUGGCCACCGGGUUCACGCUGCUCGUCAUCGCGUUCGUCACGCGCCCCGUCGGCGUCACCGUCGAGGACGCGGCCCUCGCCCGCCUCGCCCUCGCCAACAAGAACGCCACGGCCACGGCGCUCGCCUACGACUUCUCGCUCGCCGUCGCCGUGCGCAACCACAACUGGAUCAUGCGCACCCAGCACACGGCGCCGCUCCACGCGGAGCUGCUCUUCGCCGGCGCUCGCUUCGCCCGCGUCGGGCUGGCGGGCGCAGGGGGCCUUGUACAACCGGGGAACAAGGAAGUGUACCACGCCACGGCGGCGGCCGACAGCGCGAGCGUCGCGCUGGGGAGCGCAGGGGUGGCCGAGUUCGUCAGGGAGAGCACGGCGGGGGUCUUUCAUUUGGAGCUCAGGGUUCUCGGGGAGGUCAGGUACCAGCCGCGCCACCACCUGCACAGGCUGCACGCGAUCUGCCCGCUGGAGUUGGCUCUGUCGACGGCAACGUCGCCGGCGACGUUCAGAAAGGUCAAGUGCGCCGCUUUUUCAUAG